RNAcentral lists this ribosomal RNA (492 nucleotides) under uncultured bacterium. RNAcentral's name for it is "partial 16S ribosomal RNA". It matches the Rfam family "Bacterial small subunit ribosomal RNA", at positions 29 to 507 of the family's 1533-position model. The record is from RNAcentral.
AGUGAACGCUGGCGGUAGGCCUAACACAUGCAAGUCGAACGGCAGCACAGUAAGAGCUUGCUCUUACGGGUGGCGAGUGGCGGACGGGUGAGGAAUACAUCGGAAUCUACUUUUUCGUGGGGGAUAACGUAGGGAAACUUACGCUAAUACCGCAUACGACCUACGGGUGAAAGCAGGGGAUCUUCGGACCUUGCGCGAUUGAAUGAGCCGAUGUCGGAUUAGCUAGUUGACGGGGUAAAGGCCCACCAAGGCGACGAUCCGUAGCUGGUCUGAGAGGAUGAUCAGCCACACUGGAACUGGGACACGGUCCAGACUCCUACGGGAGGCAGCAGUGGGGAAUAUUGGACAAUGGGCGCAAGCCUGAUCCAGCCAUACCGCGUGGGUGAAGAAGGCCUUCGGGUUGUAAAGCCCUUUUGUUGGGAAAGAAAAGCAGCAGGUUAAUACCCCGCUGUUCUGACGGUACCCAAAGAAUAAGCACCGGCUAACUUCGUG